Molecule: ribosomal RNA, 720 nt
Filed under: uncultured Bacteroidales bacterium
Lineage: Bacteria; Pseudomonadati; Bacteroidota; Bacteroidia; Bacteroidales
Description: bacterial SSU rRNA
Rfam family: Bacterial small subunit ribosomal RNA
Source: RNAcentral
GAGGGGCAGCACGAUGUAGCAAUACAUUGGUGGCGACCGGCGCACGGGUGAGUAACGCGUAUGCAACCUACCUAUCAGAGGGGAAUAACCCGGCGAAAGUCGGACUAAUACCGCAUAAAACAGGGGUUCCACAUGGAAAUAUUUGUUAAAGAAUUAUCGCUGAUAGAUGGGCAUGCGUUCCAUUAGAUAGUUGGUGAGGUAACGGCUCACCAAGUCCACGAUGGAUAGGGGUUCUGAGAGGAAGGUCCCCCACACUGGUACUGAGACACGGACCAGACUCCUACGGGAGGCAGCAGUGAGGAAUAUUGGUCAAUGGGCGAGAGCCUGAACCAGCCAAGUCGCGUGAAGGAUGAAGGAUCUAUGGUUUGUAAACUUCUUUUAUAUGGGAAUAAAGUGAGGAACGUGUUCCUUUUUGUAUGUACCAUAUGAAUAAGCAUCGGCUAACUCCGUGCCAGCAGCCGCGGUAAUACGGAGGAUGCGAGCGUUAUCCGGAUUUAUUGGGUUUAAAGGGUGCGUAGGUGGUUAAUUAAGUCAGCGGUGAAAGUUUGUGGCUCAACCAUAAAAUUGCCGUUGAAACUGGUUGACUUGAGUAUAUUUGAGGUAGGCGGAAUGCGUGGUGUAGCGGUGAAAUGCAUAGAUAUCACGCAGAACUCCGAUUGCGAAGGCAGCUUACUAAACUAUAACUGACACUGAAGCACGAAAGCGUGGGGAUCAAACAGG